GACCCAGCAUGGUAUAGUGGUUAGUGUUGGACUAUGACUCUGGGGACCAGGGUUCAAAUCCCAGCUCAGUCA
Phrynosoma platyrhinos (Desert horned lizard) is the source of this 72-nucleotide non-coding RNA. The record is from the annotation of a GenBank genome assembly. Lineage: Eukaryota; Metazoa; Chordata; Lepidosauria; Squamata; Phrynosomatidae.